Acanthosepion pharaonis is the source of this 108-nucleotide non-coding RNA. The record is from the annotation of a GenBank genome assembly. NCBI's taxonomy places the organism in Eukaryota, Metazoa, Mollusca, Cephalopoda, Sepiida, Sepiidae.
GCCAUAUCAUAUUGAAACACUGGUUGUUGUAGGAUCCCAGAAGUUAAGCAACAUCGAUCCUGGUCAGUACCUAGAUAGGUGACUGCUUGGGAAUACCAGGUGCUGUAA